Molecule: non-coding RNA, 2015 nt
Organism: Durio zibethinus
Lineage: Eukaryota; Viridiplantae; Streptophyta; Magnoliopsida; Malvales; Malvaceae
Source: RefSeq, a predicted model, not a curated record
AUAAUAUUUUUAUUAAUCUUUUUUAUGAAAUUGAAUGAGAGCAUAUAGAUAAUGGAGUUCGGCUUUGGUUACUAUUGGGCUUGGCUUUGGUUCCCUUGAUUUCGGACGUUUCAGUCAGUUUACUCGGCUUUCUCUGCAAUGGCCCAAGAACAAUUCAACCCAAAAUCCGUGCUUUGAAGUUUAAACUUCAAAGGUAUAUUUCAGCUCAACAGCUAAACAGAUGCAAUACAACCAAGAAAAACAAGGGGAAGAGACCAACGCGGCCUUUGUUCUCUUCAAUCACCACGAAAAGAUCACCUUUUUGUUACUUAUAAUAGAUAAAACCAAUUCUUUUUACCACAAAAAAUGAAAACCCAAAGCUUCCUCUGUCUAAAGAUUAGCCCAAAUUGAUUGGUGCUGCGAAUAUUGAAGAGAGUUGGUUUUGUCUUGAUUUCAUCGAUUAUGCAAAUACCCAGAUGGUGAAACGUGUUUCUACUCAAGAAUUCAUUGGUUCCAGCUUUCUUACCUUCAAAACCAACGGCUACUUUUGCAAAGACCCACGUUGCUCCAUUUCAUUCUACGCCUGGUACCUUUGAAAAAUGGAAGAGCAAAUGGAAUUUUGAUGAAAGAAGAGCACAACAAGCAAGUUAUGCAGCUUUGAGGGCGUCUAUUUGUAAUUACGUAAGAUAUGCAGUACAUCAAAAGCGAGCUGACACAAAGAGAGCUCUAAAAGACCUUCUCUUUAAUACCGGUUCCUCAAAUAUUUCAUUUCAGUAAGAGAUUAAAAACUAGCUACAUCUGGUUUCAAAGGAAGGUUUAGAAGAAAGAGUUUCUCUGAGGACUUUGAUCAUCCUGAGACAAUCUUGAAGCUACAUUUGGGAUCAAAUGGUAUACUUGGUCUUCUAGGGGAGAUUCUUCUUUUCAAAAUUCAGAAUCUGGAUUUGAGUGGAGAGAAAAAUCAGGCUGGACCAGUCAAAGUACAAAAGAGAAGAGUCUCCUAGUAAAAGAUGAGUCUUAUGCUGUAGGAUCAUGUUCUGAUAGUGCAAUCCUUGGUUUGCCUCCAAUGGGCCCCUUAAAGAUUGAAGAUGCUAAGAAUGCAUAAGACUUUAGUGCUUUCGCUCAACUUGAUUUUUGAGAGGCCUGUCACCUUAAAGAUUAGACAUAUUUAAGUUUUCCUUUGCUCCAAUUCUUUUUUAUGUAUAUAUUCUAAAAUUAUUAAAAUCAACUUGCAGCUUCCGCCUAUCAGCGUUAAAGUGGCAUCCUGAUAAGCAUCAAGGUCCUUCACAGGUGAUGGCUGAAGAGAAAUUUAAGCUCUGGGUUGAUGCAUACAAAUCAUUAUGUCAUGCUUUAGCCUGAGGUCGUUGGUGUUUUCAAAUGCUUACAGCUCCAAGUAAGUGGUCUCAGAGAAUAGCUACUACAAUCUAGAAUAGGUGUAUGAUUGAAUUAUUUUCUUAUCUAUUUUUAUCUUCUUCAUAGUCAAUUGUCUUCACUAAGUUGGCUCUUCCAAAAUUUUAGUUUUUGGCCCAACAAUUGACAAUGUGCCAUAAAUUAAAUUUUAAGGGAACAGGGAUUGUAAAACUUCAAUAUCAAAAAUCUUGAUGAUGAUUUCUUACUCAAAAACUUUCAUGGAAAUUGUUUAUGAUCUAAAUUUAAUUUUGCAACAUAAAAGGUAUACAUGCAUAUAUUCAUAAGGUUAAUCAGAAAACAGCCUGUAUUGAGUACUGGAUGGGUUUGGACUGUGAAUUACAGCAUGGAACUCCGGAGGGAAAUUUGCCUAAAAUGUCUUAUUAUUUCAUUUCCUUUUUUCUUUUUUACUUGUUCAGGAUCAUAUUUACCUUUCUUUUUUCCUUUGGAAAUAGCAUUUGGAUAUUAUUGCCCCUGAUAUGGUGAGAAAGGGAUUUGGCUUUUACAGGGAAUAUAGGGCCAAGGCAUCAAAAUCUUGCUUAAUUUCAAGGAGAAUUAUGAAGUAUUCCAAUUUUUUUUUACAAAAUCAAAAUUAUUAAAUUUAUACUCUUACCAUUUGUGAGCCCGAUAAU